CAGCCAGAUCAUCCUGUAGCCCAAAACUGAUAAAGGUAAGCAGAGCCAAAGUCAUAUUACCCUGUAGCUAAGCAGGAUUGAGCCUGGUCAGUACUUACAAGGAAGACCACCAGGGAGAAACCUGCUAGAUCUAUUGC
RNAcentral lists this ribosomal RNA (137 nucleotides) under Danio rerio (zebrafish). The record is from RNAcentral. Lineage: Eukaryota; Metazoa; Chordata; Actinopteri; Cypriniformes; Danionidae.